Molecule: ribosomal RNA, 249 nt
Filed under: uncultured bacterium
Lineage: Bacteria
Description: partial 16S ribosomal RNA
Rfam family: Bacterial small subunit ribosomal RNA
Source: RNAcentral
GCAAGUCGAGGGGUAACAUUGUAGCUUGCUACAGAUGACGACCGGCGCACGGGUGCGUAACGCGUAUACAAUCUACCUUUUGCUGAGGGAUAGCCCAGAGAAAUUUGGAUUAAUACCUCAUAGUAUAUAUGAAUCACAUGGUUUAUAUAUUAAAGGUUACGGCAGAAGAUGAGUAUGCGUUCUAUUAGCUAGAUGGUGUGGUAACGGCACACCAUGGCAACGAUAGAUAGGGGCCCUGAGAGGGGGAUC